Corvus hawaiiensis (hawaiian crow) is the source of this 1391-nucleotide long non-coding RNA. RefSeq lists it as uncharacterized. The record is from RefSeq and is a predicted model, not a curated record. Lineage: Eukaryota; Metazoa; Chordata; Aves; Passeriformes; Corvidae. The transcript is spliced from 3 exons.
ACCCAGAGGCACCCUUGGAGCUGGGGAGGGGGUGUAAAAACACAGCAGUGUGAGAAACGGUGCUUUGGAAAUUCCAAGCAGCAACAUCACAGAGUUCAGCCCCAUGUGCUGUGUAAAAAACCAGCAGGAUGCUAAAAAAAUCUCCAGAAAGAGGAAAUUUGGGUUUUCAUGCUCUGUGCUCGCUUCCCCUCACUGCGAGGGGGUGGGUGAGAGACUCUCCACAGGCACAGCCUCCUUCUUCCCCUGAGCAGCUUUUCCCCCUGAUUUUUCCAUGGGUACCCCCCAAAUCAGCCAUGCUGGGGCACUGGAUGAAGAUUUGUGCCUAAUGAGCCAGAACAGCAGGUAGAAGAGUCCCGAAAAGCUGCACUUUGAUGGAGAUCAUGGAGCUGUGGCGAACCUUGGAGCCAAGAGGUUACAAAACCCACCCUGCAGAGAAAAAGAGCGGGUCUGGGUUGUCUGCGGUCUUUUUGUUCUGCAGCACUGCUGGAGCUCCUCCCUGCAGCUCCAGCAGAGACACCAACAGCCCCCUCAGAGCGCUGCCUCCAGGCUGGGCAAGGGCUGUCCCACAGAUGCACUUCCAUCAUGGGAUGUAGUUGCCAUGGCUGAUGAUGCUGGCACCGGGGCCAAAAUCCCAGCACUUUUACUUGACCCCAAAAACACGCCCUUGAAAAGAACCCACUGUCCCUGCACAGCUCCUGCUCCAGCCUGCUGAGGAAUCCCCUCCUGCAGAUCCUGACAUCCUGAUGCACCUUCUGAGAGAUUCCCUCUUGAUCCACUUGCAGAAAUCUCAGUUUCAAGGGCCACCCACUCUAAAUCCUGUCUGUGACCACCCCCACGGGCUGUUUGCUGGGCUCCCAGCAGAGCUGAGCUGCUGGUGCAGAUGAAAGCAAAGCCAGCAGAAAAGCACCUUUUACAAAGUACAGCUGCAAACCUGCAGCCCAUGAAGUCAAGCUCAAAACCUUCAGCCCAUGAAGUUUAAAACCUUCAGCCCAUGAAGUCAAGUUUAAAAGCUUCAGCCCACGAAGUUAAGUUUUAACCCAGAGCAGUGACUGCAGUCUGAAUUAGGAAUUAAAACCACUUCAGGAUUCUCAUUAGCAAAAGCAAGUCCAAGCAAUCCUGCUCUUUUUGUCAUCUUGUGUCCCCUCACUAGUAUUAAUUUCCUCCUGUCGCUGCUCACUCACAGAGCCCUGGAUGACACAAAGAUGGGCAGCACAUGGAUUUUAUUUUACGGCAACAUAAAUCACCGUUGGAAAAAAACAGAUUUGCACGUUACCCUUACUGUCACGUACGACUUUAAAACAAAAUAUAUUCCCGGAGGAAUCAGGCAAAAGAAGGAAAUAAUCGCUAUUAAUGACACCGGAGAACAGUUGCAGCGCCGCUAAUUGCCCACG